This 1300-nucleotide long non-coding RNA is filed under the name Anas platyrhynchos platyrhynchos (common mallard). RNAcentral's name for it is "lncRNA (ENSAPLG00000021824.1)". Lineage: Eukaryota; Metazoa; Chordata; Aves; Anseriformes; Anatidae. The record is from RNAcentral.
UCUUAACUCUGCUUGAAAAUUGGGGGCUGUGCGCCCGCCACGCCAAGCGAGCUGUCGUGGAAGCUGCCGACGUGAGGCUGGUGAGGGCCUGAGGCGGGUUUUAAAGGAUUUCCCCCAGGCAUGUGCCAGUGGAAAAUCAUCUGAGAAUUCAAGAAAUCCACCAGAACCUGCAGAGGGCAGAGCUGAGAUUUCUGCAGGAGGAGGAAGAGGCCAGAAUCACCAAAAUAGUGGGGAAAAAAAACACAAUUUUGGUCCAAACAGCCACGAUGCUACACAGAAAACACCAGGAGCUUGAUAUCAGGAUCCUAAAAACACGAGCAAAAGGAGGAUUUUUCCCUCAAAAAGCACUUUCUCUGGGAAAAUGCUUCCUGCUGGCCUGGGUGCAAUUUCCUUUGUUUUUUUUUUUUUUGUUUUUUUUUUUUCCAUUUUCCCCUCUUUCUGGCAAAUAUUAAAUGGUGAAAUGGGAACCCUGGCGCAGCGCUUCCUACGGGGAAGGGCGGAGAUGAGGACACUUCCCCUAUUUUGCUGUUUUUAGGACUUAUUUCAGCAAUUCUGAAACCCGAAGCAAUCGCACUGGGUUUUGGGUCCAUUUCUGUGCAUUUAAGGGGAGUUUGGGGUCUUCCGUUGCAUUUAAGGGGAAUUUUGGGUCCGUCCUGUUGCAUUUAAAGGGAUUUUGGGGUCUUCUGUUGCAUUUAAAGGGAAUUUUGGGUCCGUCCUGUUGUAUUUAAAGGGAAUUUUGGGUCCAUCCUGUUGCAUUUAAGGGGAAUUUUGGGUCCAUCCUGUUGCAUUUAAAGGGAAUUUUGGGUCCGUCCUGUUGCAUUUAAGGGGAAUUUUGGGUCCGUCCUGUUGCAUUUAAGGCGAAUUUUGGGUCCGUCCUAUUGCAUUUAAAGGGAUUUUGGGUCCGUCCUGUUGCAUUUAAGGGGAAUUUUGGGUCAGUCCUGUUGCGUUUAAAGGGAUUUUGGGUCCAUCCUGUUGCAUUUAAAGGGAAUUUGGGUCCGUCCUGUUGCAUUUAAAGGGAUUUUGGGUCCGUCCUGUUGCAUUUAAGGGGAAUUUGGGGUCUUCUGUUGCAUUUUAGGGGAAUUUGGGGUUUGUCCAAGCCUGGCGUGGAGCAAGAGGGUGAAAUUUAAUUUGGGUGAAUCCUUUCUGCCUGGAAAAAAGAGGUGAAAGAAAAACCAAACGGAGCCGGGGCUGGUUUUUAGGUGCUGUUUAUUGAGCGAGUGGCGGGACGCGGCGGCGGGGAGGCGUUUGGGGUGAAACCCGAGGCUUUUGGGGAAUUUUUAGGGGCAGAAAGUGAGCAGGG